This 615-nucleotide long non-coding RNA is filed under the name Hordeum vulgare. RNAcentral describes it as "long non-coding RNA (HVUL_LNC012485)". Lineage: Eukaryota; Viridiplantae; Streptophyta; Magnoliopsida; Poales; Poaceae. The record is from RNAcentral.
UUAAACAUCAAGUCCCCUUACUCCCAUAACCAAACAACUCCCUUACUUGGGUGUAAGAUUCUCUCCCUCUAGCCACCCACUAUAAGCGUAUCAUGAACAUAUUGCAAACCCUACAACGAGAAUUCCCUCACAUGUGCAUGACAUGAAGGGCACCAUAGGACAACAACACAAUAAUACGUACACUCAAAUCCAUCAAGAUCAUCAAUCAACCCAAAGGACAACAUAAAUAUAUCCAAACAUCAUUGGAUGGAAACACAUCAUUGAUUAAUAAUAUGUGUCAUGAAAGACCAUGUUAAAGUAGGGGAUUAUAGAGGGGUGUCGGAGAGUGGGCCACCAUAUAUAGACCAGGGAAGGUGAUGGAGACGGUGAUGUUUAUGAAGAUGGGCACUGUGGCGAUGCUUCACCCUGGCGGCACUUCGGCGCCACCAGAAGAGAGGGGAAGGGAGUAUCCGCCCUUAGGCUUCCUCUUCAUUGUCCACUACCUUCAUUGGGAGAGGUUCUCCCUCUGGUUCUUGGCCGCCAUGGCUCUCGGAGCCCCUCCGGGAUUGGAUGUCUCUCUCGGUUUCUCCCCGGUUUUCGCUACUGUUUUUUCUCUAGAUUGGUUUUUCAUCAAUA